Molecule: long non-coding RNA, 1332 nt
Organism: Tachysurus fulvidraco (yellow catfish)
Lineage: Eukaryota; Metazoa; Chordata; Actinopteri; Siluriformes; Bagridae
Exons: 2
Source: RefSeq, a predicted model, not a curated record
UCGUGGAUAACAUCAACUUUCGGUUCCAAAAACGGAGGUAACUUUCUGGGUAUGUAUGUAACCAUAGCAACUAACUCUCUGAAGAUAACCUGCUCGGGAACAGGUUUCAGUGUAACUUCGUUGCAGAAGGUUGGUGAGCAUGGCGUGCCCUUUUGAUGAGGAUCCUGUGGACAUAGAAGCACAAAUUAUACGAGUUUUUUUUCGUCGGGAGAGGGUUAUAAGACCGCGUAUUGAUGUGUUUGCAUACCCUAAUGAAUAUUUGAAAGAGCGUUAUCGUUUUUCAAAAGAUUCGUUAGUUUAUUUAACACGUCUUUUAAAACCGCAUAUCGCAAAUGUGACAAACCGCGGUUCUGCGCUUAGCACUUAGUCUGGCCAUUUUUUGUACAGUGUGGGCGAUUCAGAGCAUGUGAGAAAGGCAACUGUGUGUAGAGCCGUUCAUACAGUAUGUCUGGCACUAAAACAGUUCUUACCCGCGUUUGUGCAGUUCCCUGGCCAUAAACCUCUGCUUGUUAUUAAAGACGAAUUCCACAGAGUGGCAGGGUUUCCAAAUGUAAUUGGGUGCAUUAAUGGCACUCACAUUCAAGCUCCAACAAAAAAUGAGGGAGACUGUUAAUAGAAAAUCUAUUCAUAGUAUCAAUGUGCAGGUAACAACUUAAUUUUUUCCCUUCUUAAAAUCAUUAAAGUCAUUACUUUUUCCACUAACUAGGUAACAUGUGAGGCAACCCAAAUCAUUACCAAUGUCGAGGCAAAAUGGCUGGGAUCUGUGCAUGAUGCCAGAAUUUUCCGCAAGUCAUCAUUAUGCCAGAAAUUUCAGCAGGGUAUGUUUUGCUUUAUACAAUUGUCCUCCCCCCCCUUUUUUACUAUAUUUGUGUUGUACACUUCAAUCAUUACAGGACAGUACAAUGGUUACUUGCUGGGGGACAGAGGAUACCCUUGUCUGCCCUAUUUAAUGACACCCUACCCUGAACCUGAGCCUGGACCACAGACACAGUUUAACCUGGCUCACAGCCGAACACGGGCCAAGGUGGAGAUGACUUAUAGGGAUCCUCAAAUCUCGGUUUCAGUGUCUGCGUGGGCUCCGGGUCAGUCCAGAAGCGCAUGCUACAUUGUAGUGGCUUGUGUUGUGCUUCACAAUAUUGCCACUAUAAGAGGAGAGAGCCACCCUCCUUGUAUUGAGGAAGAUGGCCCAGAGGAACAUCUACAGAUUUUAGAGGCCAACAGAGACGGAAGAAUUUUGAGAGACUGGAUCUGUCAAAAUGACUUUUAUUAAUUUUUUUGCACUGGUCUGGAUUAUUUCUUUAUUUCCUGAAAAACAAUAAAAGUAAAAUUCAA